GUGUCAGCCGCCGCGGUAAGACGUAGGAUGCAAGCGUUGUCCGGAUUUAUUGGGCGUAAAGAGUUCGUAGGCGGUUUAUCAAGUCUGGUGUUAAAGCCCGGAGCUCAACUCCGGUUCAGCACUGGAUACUGAUAAGCUGGAGUGCAGAAGAGGCAAGGGGAAUUCCCAGUGUAGCGGCGAAAUGCGUAGAUAUUGGGAGGAACACCGGUGGCGAAAGCGCCUUGCUGGGCUGUUACUGACGCUGAGGAACGAAAGCCAGGGGAGCGAAUGGGAUUAGAAACCCCCGUAGUCC
This 292-nucleotide ribosomal RNA is filed under the name uncultured bacterium. Its description in RNAcentral is "partial 16S ribosomal RNA". It matches the Rfam family "Bacterial small subunit ribosomal RNA", at positions 505 to 796 of the family's 1533-position model. The record is from RNAcentral.